This is a long non-coding RNA of Schistocerca gregaria, 293 nucleotides long. RefSeq lists it as uncharacterized. The transcript is spliced from 3 exons. The record is from RefSeq and is a predicted model, not a curated record. NCBI's taxonomy places the organism in Eukaryota, Metazoa, Arthropoda, Insecta, Orthoptera, Acrididae.
UCAGAAACACGUCGCUGCGAGUAGACUGCAUGCUGCAGAAGGGAGCAUAUUCGGAUGACACCACCGCCGUAUGCAAGUCGCUGGAUGCGCAAAAGUUGAUGAUGUGGUGGCGUCGGUGCUGUAUGCGGACUAUACAAAGAGCAGUAGAUCUGAGUACGGAGAGAACUUCGCCGCCUUAUGCAAGUCCCUGGAAUCGCUAAAAUUAAGGAGAUUGCGGAGGCAGUGCUGUUUGUGAAGAGUCUUACAUUCGUUUGUGAACGACGACGACGACGACGACGACGACGACGACGACG